UAGCGCUAAUAUUUACUUUAUUAUUAUUAGUCACAUUUCAUAAUAAUUCAAAAGUAAUUCAUCAAUAGCAACUAACUAAACAAAAAAUAUAGAAACACUUAUAUUAAUAGGCCUAAUUUGCAUGCAUGUAGAGAAGAUAUCUGCAACAAUAUCAGAAAAACAAAACUUUAUGUAUAAAUUAUCUAUUUCGCAAUUCGUUAAAACGUUACGCACGAAAUUAGGAACCAGAGCAAAAUUUCUCAAUAAUUUGCACAAAUUAACUCCUUAAGAUAAUCUAUUUCUGAUUUAUUAACAAUCAUCGACUGCUUUCAUAAACAACUAGGUCAAUAGUCUACAUUUAUUAUUUGAAUAUUAGUAAGUAAAGGGCAGGGAAAGAUGAAUUUUCACAUAUUAUCGUUAAUGCCUCAUUUUUUUUUGUUAGUAAGCAAAUGAGCAAAGAACAUUACAAAUUCGUUGUAAUAGGCGGUGGCAUUGCAGGAGUGACUUGUGUUGAAACUCUCGAAACAUCGAAUGACGAUAGAAUUCUGCUUUUGACAGCGUCACCUCUAGUUAAAGUUAUACAAAACUUUAAACAAAUCUCAAAAGUCAUAGAAGAAUUCGAUGUUACUGAAAAAAAAGCGUUGGAAUUAGAACAAACGUGUAAAAAUGUGACAGUUCAUCAAGAAGUUGUCGACAAUAUUGAUUUUGACAAUAAAAUUAUAAGCACGAAACGUAAAAAAUUUAAAUAUGAAUAUCUUUGUAUUUGUACUGGAGGGAAACCUAAGUUAAUAGCUGAAAAUAAUCCUUAUGUUAUUGGAAUAAGGGAUGUUGAAACAGUACAAAUAUUUCAGAAGAAACUGAAAUCAGCUAGAAAAGUACUAAUCGUAGGAAAUGGUGGCAUAGCAACCGAACUUGCUUACGAAUUGAAAGGUUGCGAUGUAAUCUGGGCCAUUAAAGAUUCAUCCAUCACUUCUACUUUUGUUGAUGCUGGUGCUGCCCAAUUUUUCCUUCCAACUCUACUAAAUGAAAAUCAACGACAGAAUAAAGAUGAGGAAGGCGCAACGAUUUGCAAACGAUUAAAAUAUGGUUUAGAAGGAACACGUGACGCGAAUGACUCAAACAUCUUUGGGGGUGCUUUAGGACCGGAUUGGGCUUCGGGUUUAGAGUUAAUUGAUAAGCAAGAUAAAAAGCAUGUUGUUCAAAUAGAAUAUAGCGUUGAAAUUGAUAAUAUAAUUGAAAAUACUGACGACGAAAGUGAAUUCAACAUCAAAGUGCGCUUAACUAAUGGUAAAGAAUAUAAAGUAGACUUUAUUGUUAGCGCAACUGGCGUAGAACCUAAUACUUCUUUAUUUUCAACUACCGAUGCUGUCAAAUACGCGAGUGAUGGAGGAGUCAAAGUAACAGACAAACUUGAAACUGGUGUGAAAGAUGUAUUCGCUGCUGGAGAUGUGAUUUAUCCCGAUUGGAAGUUUUCUGAUCAAUGGAUCCAUAUGCGAUUAUGGACUCAAGCAAGGCAAACUGGUCAUUAUGCUGCAAAAUGUAUGUUAGCCAAAUCUCAAGAUGACUUUGAAUCUAUAAGUCUCGAUUUCUGUUUUGAAUGUUUUGCUCAUUCAACGCGUUUCUUCGGAUAUAAAGUUAUUCUCUUAGGUAAAUUUAAUGGACAAGGUCUACUGAAAAGCGAAUACGAAGCAUUAAUAAGACUUACAAAAGGAGAGGAAUACGUAAAAGUUAUAUUGAAAGAUGGUAGAAUGCAAGGAGCUAUACUAGUUGGAGAAACAGAUUUGGAAGAAAUGUGUGAGAAUCUUAUUUUAAAUGGCACGGACCUGUCGAGUCUAGGUGACGAUUUAUUAAAUCCUAACAUUGAUAUAGAAGACUAUUUCGAUUAGGAUUUAUAUACAAAUAUAUAUAAAUAAAUAAAUAUAUAUAUAUAGACGGUAUAUAUGUCGUAAUAAAUUUUUG
This 1938-nucleotide unclassified non-coding RNA is filed under the name Dimorphilus gyrociliatus. Its description in RNAcentral is "dgyrCDS6190". The record is from RNAcentral. Lineage: Eukaryota; Metazoa; Annelida; Polychaeta; Dinophilidae.